GCAGUAGCCGCGGGAAUACAGAGGGUGCGAGCGUUAAUCGGAUUUACUGGGCGUAAAGCGUGCGUAGGCGGCUUUUUAAGUCGGAUGUGAAAUCCCUGAGCUUAACUUAGGAAUUGCAUUCGAUACUGGGAAGCUAGAGUAUGGGAGAGGAUGGUAGAAUUCCAGGUGUAGCGGUGAAAUGCGUAGAGAUCUGGAGGAAUACCGAUGGCGAAGGCAGCCAUCUGGCCUAAUACUGACGCUGAGGUACGAAAGCAUGGGGAGCAAACAGGAUUAGAUACCCCGGUAGUUCCUGUCUCUUAUAC
Molecule: ribosomal RNA, 302 nt
Filed under: uncultured bacterium
Lineage: Bacteria
Description: partial 16S ribosomal RNA
Rfam family: Bacterial small subunit ribosomal RNA
Source: RNAcentral